RNAcentral lists this ribosomal RNA (635 nucleotides) under uncultured beta proteobacterium. Its description in RNAcentral is "bacterial SSU rRNA". It matches the Rfam family "Bacterial small subunit ribosomal RNA", at positions 8 to 649 of the family's 1533-position model. Lineage: Bacteria; Pseudomonadati; Pseudomonadota; Betaproteobacteria. The record is from RNAcentral.
AGAGUUUGAUCCUGGCUCAGAUUGAACGCUGGCGGAAUGCUUUACACAUGCAAGUCGAACGGGGGUAGCAAUACCCUAGUGGCGAACGGGUGAGUAAUACAUCGGAACGUACCCUGACGUGGGGGAUAACACAGCGAAAGCUGUGCUAAUACCGCAUACGUCCUGAGGGAGAAAGCGGGGGAUCGCAAGACCUCGCGCGUUUGGAGCGGCCGAUGGCGGAUUAGCUAGUUGGUGGGGUAAAGGCCUACCAAGGCGACGAUCCGUAGCUGGUCUGAGAGGACGACCAGCCACACUGGGACUGAGACACGGCCCAGACUCCUACGGGAGGCAGCAGUGGGGAAUUUUGGACAAUGGGCGAAAGCCUGAUCCAGCCAUUCCGCGUGAGUGAAGAAGGCCUUCGGGUUGUAAAGCUCUUUCGGCAGGAACGAAACGGCCAAGGAUAAUACCUUUGGUCAAUGACGGUACCUGAAGAAGAAGCACCGGCUAACUACGUGCCAGCAGCCGUGGUAAUACGUGGGGUGCGAGCGUCAAUCUGAAUGACUGUGCGGAAAGCGUGCGCAGGUGGUAUUGUACGACAUAUGUGAACUCGCGUGCCUAUCCUGGGAACUGCGUUUGUGACUGAAAGACGUGAGUGC